AUGUGGUUUAAUUCGAUGCAACGCGAAGAACCUUACCUACUCUUGACAUCCAGAGAACUUUCCAGAGAUGGAUUGGUGCCUUCGGGAACUCUGAGACAGGUGCUGCAUGGCUGUCGUCAGCUCGUGUUGUGAAAUGUUGGGUUAAGUCCCGCAACGAGCGCAACCCUUAUCCUUUGUUGCCAGCGGUUCGGCCGGGAACUCAAAGGAGACUGCCAGUGAUAAACUGGAGGAAGGUGGGGAUGACGUCAAGUCAUCAUGGCCCUUACGAGUAGGGCUACACACGUGCUACAAUGGCGUAUACAAAGAGAAGCGACCUCGCGAGAGCAAGCGGACCUCAUAAAGUACGUCGUAGUCCGGAUUGGAGUCUGCAACUCGACUCCAUGAAGUCGGAAUCGCUAGUAAUCGUAGAUCAGAAUGCUACGGUGAAUACGUUCCCGGGCCUUGUACACACCGCCCGUCACACCAUGGGAGUGGGUUGCAAAAGAAGUUGGUAGCUUAACCUUCGGGAGGGCGCUUACCACUUUGUGAUUCAUGACUGGG
Molecule: ribosomal RNA, 540 nt
Filed under: Serratia nematodiphila
Lineage: Bacteria; Pseudomonadati; Pseudomonadota; Gammaproteobacteria; Enterobacterales; Yersiniaceae
Description: bacterial SSU rRNA
Rfam family: Bacterial small subunit ribosomal RNA
Source: RNAcentral